GAUGAACGCUGGCGGCGUGCCUAAUACAUGCAAGUCGAGCGAACAGAUAAGGGGCUUGCUCCUUUGACGUUAGCGGCGGACGGGUGAGUAACACGUGGGUAACCUACCUAUAGGACUGGAAUAACUCCGGGAAACCGGGGCUAAUGCCGGAUAACAUUUAGAACCGCAUGGUUCUAAAGUGAAAGAUGGUUUUGCUAUCACUUAUAGAUGGACCCGCGCCGUAUUAGCUAGUUGGUAAGGUAACGGCUUACCAAGGCAACGAUACGUAGCCGACCUGAGAGGGUGAUCGGCCACACUGGAACUGAGACACGGUCCAGACUCCUACGGGAGGCAGCAGUAGGGAAUCUUCCGCAAUGGGCGAAAGCCUGACGGAGCAACGCCGCGUGAGUGAUGAAGGUCUUCGGAUCGUAAAACUCUGUUAUUAGGGAAGAACAAAUGUGUAAGUAACUGUGCACGUCUUGACGGUACCUAAUCAGAAAGCCACGGCUAACUACGUG
RNAcentral lists this ribosomal RNA (497 nucleotides) under uncultured bacterium. RNAcentral's name for it is "partial 16S ribosomal RNA". It matches the Rfam family "Bacterial small subunit ribosomal RNA", at positions 28 to 507 of the family's 1533-position model. The record is from RNAcentral.